Molecule: ribosomal RNA, 460 nt
Filed under: uncultured bacterium
Lineage: Bacteria
Description: partial 16S ribosomal RNA
Rfam family: Bacterial small subunit ribosomal RNA
Source: RNAcentral
CCUACGGGGGGCAGCAGUGAGGAAUAUUGGUCAAUGGACGAGAGUCUGAACCAGCAAAGUAGCGUGAAGGAUGACUGCCCUCUGGGUUGUAAACUUCUUUUAUAUGGGAAUAAAACGUCCCACGUGUGGGAUUUUGUAUGUACCAUAUGAAUACGGAUCGGCUAACUCCGUGCCAGCAGCCGCGGUAAUACGGAGGGUCCGAGCGUUAGCCGGAUUUAUUGGGUUUAAAGGGAGCGUAGGGGGAUUGUUAAGUCAGUUGUGAAAGUUUCCGGCUCAACCGGAAAAUUGGAGUUGAAACUGGCAGUCUUGAGUACAGUAGAGGUGGGCGGAAUGCGUGGUGUAGCGGUGAAAUGCUUAGAUAUAACGAAGAACUCCGAUUGCGAAGGCAGUUCACUGGACUGCAACUGACACUGAGGCUCGAAAGUGUGGGUAUCAAACAGGAUUAGAUACCCUGGUAGUC